AUGAGGACUGAACCAGUUCAUUGGGCUAGGGCAUUUUUCCCUACAGGAGCUAACUGUGAAUCUGUGGACAAUAAUCUGUGUGAGUCAUUUAACAAUGCCAUCAUAGAAUCAAGGUUCUACCCAAUUAUUUCACAGCAAGAGAUGAUAAGAAAGAAGAUGCUUGUUAGGGUGCAAGAGCAGAGAGCCAAAUCAGCAACAUGGAAGGGCAAAAUUUGCCCAAAUGUUUUCAAGAAGCUAAAGGUGAGUAUAAGGUUGACACGGGACAUUGAGGUGCUCUAG
This 279-nucleotide ribosomal RNA is filed under the name Triticum aestivum (bread wheat). RNAcentral describes it as "partial small subunit ribosomal RNA". Lineage: Eukaryota; Viridiplantae; Streptophyta; Magnoliopsida; Poales; Poaceae. The record is from RNAcentral.